AUUUAUACCAUUGCCUGGCAGCAACAGCCUUGAUGAUGCUGGAGACCCUUCCAGCAUCCUUGUGUGCCUGUGUUCCUAGUCACACCAUCUCAGCUCCUUGUGUGACUACACAACACUUUUGCGCUUUGGAGACGAAAUGCAGGGAUAGAAACAGAGACAAACUUGGACGUUUUGCUGAUUUGAAGAUUGAAGGACUGAUAGAUGAACCUGGGCAAGUUAACAGACCUGUUGAAAAUGAGAAAGGAAAAGCAGAAGGAAAAAGAUUUAAGACUAUAACAAGGAAUAUUUUUAACUUGAUGAAUACGCUGCAAUUGCUACAAUGAGGCCCUGGUUGAAGCUGUAAUUUCUACAUGCCAUUGUACUACAAUAUUGUCAUAAUUUCAGAGAUUUAUGGGAGUGAUGAGGGGGAAUUCCCACACGGUCAUUGUGGAAGAAAACUGGUUUUGGAAAAAAAAGAUACUGAAAUGUGCAAGACGCCGAAGGCCAUGUGCUAAUUUUUUAAACAAAACCAUCUUGUUCAACAAUCAGGCAGAGUUAAUAACCAAAAGUGCAGUCCAUCAAGCCUCUUAUAUAUGGGAGGACACCUCUGAUUCUCUGGGCUCAUUCAUUUUAGCAUUAGACUAGCUUGUUUAAUACAGGAACCUCCACCUGAAGGACUUAACAUCUGAUCAUGGUAUUAAAACUGGCUGCAGCUGGGUAGAAAUAAAACAUUAAAAAAAAUGGAAGGAAAAAAAAGAAA
Molecule: long non-coding RNA, 739 nt
Organism: Gymnogyps californianus (California condor)
Lineage: Eukaryota; Metazoa; Chordata; Aves; Accipitriformes; Cathartidae
Exons: 3
Source: RefSeq, a predicted model, not a curated record